CCGGUUAAUCCUGCCGGGACYCCCACUGCUAUCGGGAUAGGUACUAAGACAUUGCUAGUCGUGUGCUUCAGCCMAAAACGAAGCMCGGCAUACAGCUCAGUAACACGUGGCUAAUCUGCCCUUGGGACGAGAACAACCCCGGGAAACUGGGGGCUAACUCUCGAUAGGCGAAGAACUCUGGAAUGAGUCUUCACCUAAAUAGGUUCACGUUAUGCUCGUGGAUCUGCCCAAGGAUGAGGCCGCGACCGAUCAGGUUGUUGGUGAGGUAAUGGCUCACCAAGCCUUUUACCGGUGCGGGCCGUGAGAGCGGGAGCCCGGAGAUGGGCACUGAGACAAGGGCCCAGGCCCUACGGGGCGCAGCAGUCGCGAAAACUUUGCAAUAAGCGAAAGCUUGACAGGGCUAUCCCGAGUGCCAUCCGCUGAGGAAGGCUUUUACCCAGUCUAGAACGCUGGGGGAAUAAGGAGAGGGCAAGUCUGGUGUCAGCCGCCGCGGUAAUACCAGCUCUUCGAGUGGUGUGGAUGUUUAUUGGGCCUAAAGCAUCCGUAGCUGGCUAAGUUAGUCCCUUGUUAAAUCCACCGAAUUAAUCGUUGGAUUGCGGGGGAUACUGCUUGGCUAGGGGACGAGAGAGGCAGACGGUAUUUUCGGGGUAGGGGUGAAAUCCUAUAAUCCCGGGAAGACCACCAGUGGCGAAGGCUGUCUGCUAGAACGCGCCCGACGGUGAGGGAUGAAAGCUGGGGGAGCGAACCGGAUUAGAUACCCGGGUAGUCCCAGCUGUAAACGAUGCAGGCUAGGUGUUUGGACGGCCACGUGCCGUUCUAGUGCCGCAGGGAAGCUGUUAAGCCUGCCGCCUGGGGAGUACGAUCGCAAGAUUGAAACUUAAAGGAAUUGGCGGGGGAGCAC
RNAcentral lists this ribosomal RNA (901 nucleotides) under uncultured crenarchaeote. RNAcentral's name for it is "bacterial SSU rRNA". It matches the Rfam family "Archaeal small subunit ribosomal RNA", at positions 4 to 879 of the family's 1478-position model. The record is from RNAcentral. Lineage: Archaea; Thermoproteati; Thermoproteota.